Molecule: ribosomal RNA, 478 nt
Filed under: uncultured soil bacterium
Lineage: Bacteria
Description: bacterial SSU rRNA
Rfam family: Bacterial small subunit ribosomal RNA
Source: RNAcentral
AGCGGCAGACGGGUGAGUAACACGUAGGCAAUCUACCUUUCCGUCCGGGAUAACUAGCCGAAAGGUUAGCUAAUACCAGAUGCGACCACGGCAUCGAAAGCAGCGCGGAUUGAGGAGCCUGCGGCCCAUUAGCUAGUUGGUGAGGUAACGGCCCACCAAGGCUACGAUGGGUAGCUGGUCUGAGAGGACGACCAGCCACACUGGGACUGAGACACGGCCCAGACUCCUACGGGAGGCAGCAGUGAGGAAUUUUCCGCAAUGGGCGAAAGCCUGACGGAGCGACGCCGCGUGCACGAGGAAGGUCUUCGGAUCGUAAAGUGCUGUCGAGGGGGACGAUUGACGGUACCCCUGGAGGAAGCCCCGGCUAACUACGUGCCAGCAGCCGCGGUAAGACGUAGGGGGCGAGCGUUGUUCGGAAUUACUGGGCGUAAAGCGUGCGUAGGCGGAUUCGUAAGUCGAGGUUGAAAUAUCCGGGCUC